This 263-nucleotide ribosomal RNA is filed under the name uncultured bacterium. Its description in RNAcentral is "partial 16S ribosomal RNA". It matches the Rfam family "Bacterial small subunit ribosomal RNA", at positions 524 to 782 of the family's 1533-position model. The record is from RNAcentral.
UACGUAGGGUCCGAGCGUUAAUCGGAAUUACUGGGCGUAAAGCGUGCGCAGGCGGUUUUGUAAGCCAGAUGUGAAAGCCCCGGGCUUAACCUGGGAAUGGCAUUUGGGACUGCAAGGCUGGAGUACGGCAGAGGGAGGUGGAAUUCCAGGUGUAGCGAGUGAAAUGCGUAGAUAUCUGGAGGAACACCGAUGGCGAAGGCAGCCUCCUGGGCUAGUACGUGACCGCUCAUGCACGAAAGCGUGGGGAGCAAACAGGAAUUAGA